GUGGGGAAUUUUGGACAAUGGGCGCAAGCCUGAUCCAGCCAUUCCGCGUGCAGGAUGAAGGCCUUCGGGUUGUAAACUGCUUUUGUACGGAACGAAACGGUUCUCUCUAAUACAGGGGGCUAAUGACGGUACCGUAAGAAUAAGCACCGGCUAACUACGUGCCAGCAGCCGCGGUAAUACGUAGGGUGCAAGCGUUAAUCGGAAUUACUGGGCGUAAAGCGUGCGCAGGCGGUUUUGUAAGACAGAGGUGAAAUCCCCGGGCUCAACCUGGGAACUGCCUUUGUGACUGCAAGGCUGGAGUACGGCAGAGGGGGAUGGAAUUCCGCGUGUAGCAGUGAAAUGCGUAGAUAUGCGGAGGAACACCGAUGGCGAAGGCAAUCCCCUGGGCCUGUACUGACGCUCAUGCACGAAAGCGUGGGGAGCAAACAGGAUUAGAAACCCUAGUAGUCC
RNAcentral lists this ribosomal RNA (450 nucleotides) under uncultured bacterium. RNAcentral's name for it is "bacterial SSU rRNA". It matches the Rfam family "Bacterial small subunit ribosomal RNA", at positions 354 to 796 of the family's 1533-position model. The record is from RNAcentral.